AUACGUAGGGGGCAAGCGUUAUCCGGAUUUACUGGGUGUAAAGGGAGCGUAGACGGAAGGCCAAGUCUGAUGUGAAAGCCCGCGGCUCAACUGCGGGACUGCAUUGGAAACUGUCAGGCUAGAGUGCAGGAGGGGUAAGCGGAAUUCCUAGUGUAGCGGUGAAAUGCGUAGAUAUUAGGAGGAACACCGGUGGCGAAGGCGGCUUACUGGACUGUAACUGACGUUGAGGCUCGAAAGUGUGGGGAGCAAACAGGAUUAGAUACCCUGGUAGUCCACGCCGCAAACGAUGAAUACUAGGUGUCGGGUUUCUAUAGAGAUUCGGUGCCGCAGCAAACGCAAUAAGUAUUCCACCUGGGGAGUACGUUCGCAAGAAUGAAACUCAAAGGAAUCGACGGGG
This 397-nucleotide ribosomal RNA is filed under the name uncultured bacterium. Its description in RNAcentral is "partial 16S ribosomal RNA". It matches the Rfam family "Bacterial small subunit ribosomal RNA", at positions 523 to 918 of the family's 1533-position model. The record is from RNAcentral.